CCUACGGGUGGCUGCAGUGGGGAAUAUUGGGCAAUGUAGGCAACUCUGACCCAGCAAUGCCGCGUGAAUGAUGAAGGUCUGCGGAUUGUAAAGUCCUGUGAUGGGGGAUGAACACAAUGACGGUACCACAAUAGCAAGACACGGCUAACUACGUGCCAGCAGCCGCGGUAAUACGGAGGUGGCAAGCGUUAUCCGGAAUGACUGGGCGUAAAGGGUGCGUAGGUGGUUUAGUAAGUUGGCGGUGUAAUGCCGGGGCUCAACCUCGGCGCUACCGCCGAAACUAGUAGACUAGAGUGGAGGAGGAGUAAGUGGAAUUCCUAGUGUAGCGGUGGAAUGCGUAGAUAUUAGGAGGAACAUCAGGGGCGAAGGCGACUUACUGGACUGUAACUGACACUGAGGCACGAAAGCGUGGGGAGCAAACAGGAUUAGAUACCCCAGUAGUC
RNAcentral lists this ribosomal RNA (443 nucleotides) under uncultured bacterium. Its description in RNAcentral is "partial 16S ribosomal RNA". It matches the Rfam family "Bacterial small subunit ribosomal RNA", at positions 338 to 795 of the family's 1533-position model. The record is from RNAcentral.